RNAcentral lists this transfer RNA (89 nucleotides) under Halanaerobiaceae bacterium. RNAcentral describes it as "tRNA-Leu". It matches the Rfam family "tRNA". Rfam says of the family: Transfer RNA (tRNA) molecules are approximately 80 nucleotides in length. The record is from RNAcentral. Lineage: Bacteria; Bacillati; Bacillota; Clostridia; Halanaerobiales; Halanaerobiaceae.
GCCUGAGUGGCGGAAUUGGUAGACGCACAGGACUUAAAAUCCUGGGAAGGUCAUACUUCGUGCCGGUUCAACUCCGGCCUUAGGCACCA